AGAACAGUAAGCUAAAUAAGCUAAUGGGUUCAUACCCCAUUUAUAGAGUCCCCUCUCUUUUCUA
This 64-nucleotide transfer RNA is filed under the name Gromphadorhina portentosa (giant Madagascar hissing cockroach). Its description in RNAcentral is "tRNA-Met". The record is from RNAcentral. Lineage: Eukaryota; Metazoa; Arthropoda; Insecta; Blattodea; Blaberidae.